UAAUNCCGCANACGACCUAAGGGAGAAAGCGGGGGAUCUUCGGACCUCGCGCUAUAGGGGCGGCCGAUGGCAGAUUAGCUAGUUGGUGGGGUAAAGGCCUACCAAGGCGACGAUCUGUAGCUGGUCUGAGAGGACGACCAGCCACACUGGGACUGAGACACGGCCCAGACUCCUACGGGAGGCAGCAGUGGGGAAUUUUGGACAAUGGGGGAAACCCUGAUCCAGCAAUGCCGCGUGUGUGAAGAAGGCCUUCGGGUUGUAAAGCACUUUUGUCCGGAAAGAAAACUUCCUGGUUAAUACCUGGGGAGGCUGACGGUACCGGAAGAAUAAGCACCGGCUAACUACGUGCCAGCAGCCGCGGUAAUACGUAGGGUGCGAGCGUUAAUCGGAAUUACUGGGCGUAAAGCGUGCGCAGGCGGUUUGUUAAGACAGAUGUGAAAUCCCCGGGCUUAACCUGGGAACUGCAUUUGUGACUG
This 476-nucleotide ribosomal RNA is filed under the name uncultured Burkholderia sp. RNAcentral describes it as "bacterial SSU rRNA". It matches the Rfam family "Bacterial small subunit ribosomal RNA", at positions 164 to 635 of the family's 1533-position model. Lineage: Bacteria; Pseudomonadati; Pseudomonadota; Betaproteobacteria; Burkholderiales; Burkholderiaceae. The record is from RNAcentral.